AAAUUGAAGAGUUUGAUCAUGGCUCAGAUUGAACGCUGGCGGCAGGCCUAACACAUGCAAGUCGAACGGUAACAGGAAGCAGCUUGCUGCUUYGCUGACGAGUGGCGGACGGGUGAGUAAUGUCUGGGAAACUGCCUGAUGGAGGGGGAUAACUACUGGAAACGGUGGCUAAUACCGCAUAACGUCGCAAGACCAAAGAGGGGGACCUUCGGGCCUCUUGCCAUCAGAUGUGCCCAGAUGGGAU
Molecule: ribosomal RNA, 244 nt
Filed under: Salmonella enterica
Lineage: Bacteria; Pseudomonadati; Pseudomonadota; Gammaproteobacteria; Enterobacterales; Enterobacteriaceae
Description: partial 16S ribosomal RNA
Source: RNAcentral